AUUGAACGCUGGCGGAAUGCUUUACACAUGCAAGUCGAACGGCAGCACGGGGGCAACCCUGGUGGCGAGUGGCGAACGGGUGAGUAAUACAUCGGAACGUGCCCAGUCGUGGGGGAUAACGUAGCGAAAGCUACGCUAAUACCGCAUACGAACUCUGGUUGAAAGCGGGGGACUCGCAAGAGCCUCGCGCGAUUGGAGCGGCCGAUGGCAGAUUAGGUAGUUGGUGGGGUAAAGGCCACCAAGCCGACGAUCUGUAGCUGGUCUGAGAGGAUGAUCAGCCACACUGGGACUGAGACACGGCCCAGACUCCUACGGGAGGCAGCAGUGGGGUAAUUUUGGACAAUGGGCGCAAGCCUGAUCCAGCCAUUCCGCGUGCAGGAUGAAGGCCCUCGGGUUGUAAACUGCUUUUGUACGGAACGAAAGGUCUGAGUUAAUACCUCGGGCUGAUGACGGUACCGUAAGAAUAAGCACCGGCUAACUACGUGCCAG
RNAcentral lists this ribosomal RNA (489 nucleotides) under uncultured bacterium. RNAcentral's name for it is "bacterial SSU rRNA". It matches the Rfam family "Bacterial small subunit ribosomal RNA", at positions 30 to 511 of the family's 1533-position model. The record is from RNAcentral.